UAUCCUACGGGGCGCAGCAGUGAGGAAUAUUGGUCAAUGGGCGGGAGCCUGAACCAGCCAAGCCGCGUGAAGGAAGAAGGCGCCAAGCGUCGUAAACUUCUUUUGUCGGGGAACAAAGGGCGCCACGUGUGGCGUUGUGAGUGUACCCGAAGAAAAAGCAUCGGCUAACUCCGUGCCAGCAGCCGCGGUAAUACGGAGGAUGCGAGCGUUAUCCGGAUUUAUUGGGUUUAAAGGGUGCGCAGGCGGAGGUGCAAGUCAGCGGUCAAAUUGCGGGGCUCAACCCCGUACUGCCGUUGAAAC
This 300-nucleotide ribosomal RNA is filed under the name uncultured bacterium. RNAcentral describes it as "bacterial SSU rRNA". It matches the Rfam family "Bacterial small subunit ribosomal RNA", at positions 335 to 633 of the family's 1533-position model. The record is from RNAcentral.